This 368-nucleotide ribosomal RNA is filed under the name uncultured organism. RNAcentral's name for it is "bacterial SSU rRNA". It matches the Rfam family "Bacterial small subunit ribosomal RNA", at positions 526 to 896 of the family's 1533-position model. The record is from RNAcentral.
CGGAGGGUGCAAGCGUUAAUCGGAUUACUGGGCGUAAAGCGCGCGUAGGUGGCUUUGUAAGUCAGUGGUGAAAUCUCGGAGCUUAACUCCGAAACUGCCAUUGAUACUGCUUAGCUUGAAUCAAGGUAGAGGUGGAUGGAAUAUUACAUGUAGCGGUGAAAUGCUUAGAUAUGUAAUAGAACACCGAUUGCGAAGGCAGUUCACUAUGCUUGUAUUGACACUGAGGCACGAAAGCGUGGGGAUCAAACAGGAUUAGAUACCCUGGUAGUCCACGCCCUAAACGAUGUAAACUCGACAUCAGCGAUACACAGUUGGUGUCCAAGGGAAACCGUUAAGUUUACCACCUGGGAAGUACGACCGCAAGGUUG